GCCAGGCGUGGUGGCCCGCGCCUGUAAUCCCAGCUACUAGGGAGGCUGAGGCAGGAGAAUCGCUUGAGCCUGGGAGGCUGAGGUUGCAGUGAGCCGAGAUCAAGCCACUACACUCCAGCCUGGGCAACAGAGUGAGACUCCGUCUCAA
Molecule: non-coding RNA, 148 nt
Organism: Homo sapiens (human)
Lineage: Eukaryota; Metazoa; Chordata; Mammalia; Primates; Hominidae
Rfam family: Metazoan signal recognition particle RNA
About the family: The signal recognition particle (SRP) is a universally conserved ribonucleoprotein. It is involved in the co-translational targeting of proteins to membranes. The eukaryotic SRP consists of a 300-nucleotide 7S RNA and six proteins: SRPs 72, 68, 54, 19, 14, and 9.
Source: Rfam